This 1001-nucleotide ribosomal RNA is filed under the name Buchnera aphidicola (Prociphilus erigeronensis). RNAcentral describes it as "bacterial SSU rRNA". It matches the Rfam family "Bacterial small subunit ribosomal RNA", at positions 328 to 1322 of the family's 1533-position model. The record is from RNAcentral. Lineage: Bacteria; Pseudomonadati; Pseudomonadota; Gammaproteobacteria; Enterobacterales; Erwiniaceae.
CGUCCAGACUCCUACGGGAGGCAGCAGUGGGGAAUAUUGCACAAUGGGCGAAAGCCUGAUGCAGCUAUACCGCGUGUAUGAAGAAGGCCUUAGGGUUGUAAAGUACUUUCGUUGGGGAGGAAAAAUAAAUAGAUAAUACCUGUUUAUCGUGACGUUACCCAAAAAAGAAGCACCGGCUAACUCCGUGCCAGCAGCCGCGGUAAUACGGAGGGUGCAAGCGUUAAUCAGAAUUACUGGGCGUAAAGAGCUCGUAGGCGGUUUUUUAAGUCAGAUGUGAAAUCCCUGGGCUUAACCUAGGAACUGCAUUUGAAACUAAAAGACUAGAGUAUCGUAGAGGGAGGUAGAAUUCUAGGUGUAGCGGUGAAAUGCGUAGAUAUCUGGAGGAAUACCUGUGGCGAAAGCGGCCUCCUAAACGAAUACUGACGCUGAGGUGCGAAAGCAUGGGGAGCAAACAGGAUUAGAUACCCUGGUAGUCCAUGCCGUAAACGAUGUCGACUUGGAGGUUGUUUCCUUGAGAAGUGACUUCCGAAGCUAACGCGUUAAGUCGACCGCCUGGGGAGUACGGUCGCAAGGCUAAAACUCAAAUGAAUUGACGGGGGCCCGCACAAGCGGUGGAGCAUGUGGUUUAAUUCGAUGCAACGCGAAAAACCUUACCUGGUCUUGACAUCCACAGAAUUUUUCAGAGAUGAGAAAGUGCCUUAGGGAACUGUGAGACAGGUGCUGCAUGGCUGUCGUCAGCUCGUGUUGUGAAAUGUUGGGUUAAGUCCCGCAACGAGCGCAACCCUUAUCCUCUGUUGCCAUUGGUUCGGCCAGGAACUCAGAGGAGACUGCCGGUUAUAAACCGGAGGAAGGCGGGGACGACGUCAAGUCAUCAUGGCCCUUACGACCAGGGCUACACACGUGCUACAAUGGUGUAUACAAAGAGAAGCAACUCUGCAAAGACAAGCAAACCUCAUAAAGUACAUCGUAGUCCGGACUGGAGUCUGCAACUCGACUCCCGA